GACGGGUACCCGGCCUGAGAGGGUGAACGGACACACUGGAACUGAGACACGGUCCAGACUCCUACGGGAGGCAGCAGUAGGGAAUAUUGCUCAAUGGGGGAAACCCUGAAGCAGCAACGCCGCGUGGAGGAUGAAGGUUUUAGGAUUGUAAACUCCUUUUGUUAGAGAAGAUUAUGACGGUAUCUAACGAAUAAGCACCGGCUAACUCCGUGCCAGCAGCCGCGGUAAUACGGAGGGUGCAAGCGUUACUCGGAAUCACUGGGCGUAAAGAGUGCGCAGGCGGGAUAGCAAGUCAGAUGUGAAAUGCUAUGGCUUAACCAUAGAACUGCAUUUGAAACUGUUAUUCUA
This 348-nucleotide ribosomal RNA is filed under the name uncultured Helicobacter sp. RNAcentral describes it as "bacterial SSU rRNA". It matches the Rfam family "Bacterial small subunit ribosomal RNA", at positions 278 to 643 of the family's 1533-position model. Lineage: Bacteria; Pseudomonadati; Campylobacterota; Epsilonproteobacteria; Campylobacterales; Helicobacteraceae. The record is from RNAcentral.